Long non-coding RNA from Juglans regia (Persian walnut), 117 nucleotides. RefSeq lists it as uncharacterized. The record is from RefSeq and is a predicted model, not a curated record. NCBI's taxonomy places the organism in Eukaryota, Viridiplantae, Streptophyta, Magnoliopsida, Fagales, Juglandaceae. The transcript has 3 exons.
GCUAUCUUCAUGACUUUAGGCAAAUGACAAGUUCAAGUACCAAUACCGGUUCAAGUUCGUGGACUUCAAGAGGAAAAGACAAACCAAGUUUGGACAGGCCACUUUGCUACUGUGGCA